RNAcentral lists this ribosomal RNA (604 nucleotides) under uncultured archaeon. RNAcentral's name for it is "bacterial SSU rRNA". It matches the Rfam family "Archaeal small subunit ribosomal RNA", at positions 53 to 639 of the family's 1478-position model. The record is from RNAcentral.
GCGAGUCGGCUGGGGGCACUUGCCCCUGGCGGCGCACGGCUCAGUAAUACGCGGUCAACCUACCCUGGGGACCGGGAUAACCUCGGGAAACUGAGGCUAAUCCCGGAUAGGUGUGGGGUGCUGAAAUGCCCUCACGCCAAAAGUAGGCGGGAAAUGGACCGCCUGAGGCCCCAGGAUGGGACCGCGGCCUAUCAGGUAGUAGGUGGGGUAACGGCCCACCUAGCCUACGACGGGUACGGGCCCUGAGAGGGGGAGCCCGGAGAUGGGCACUGAGACAAGGGUCUAGGCCCUAAGGGGUGCAGCAGGCGCGAAGAUUCCGCAAUGCCCGAAAGGGCGACGGAGUGAACCCGAGUGCCACCCGCUGAGGGUGGCUGUUCCCCUGUGUAAAAAGCAGGGGGCAGAAAGGGGAGGGCAAGGCUGGUGGCAGCCGCCGCGGUAAAACCAGCUCCCCGAGGGGUUCCCACGCAUACUGGGCCUAAAGCGUCCGUAGCCGGCCCUGCAAGUCUGCAGUUAAAUCCGCCUGUAGACAGGCGGGCUGCUGCAGAUACUGCAGGGCUAGGGAGCGGGAGGAGCCGGGGGUAUUCCCGGGGGAGCGGUAAAAAUG